Molecule: non-coding RNA, 137 nt
Organism: Brassica napus (rape)
Lineage: Eukaryota; Viridiplantae; Streptophyta; Magnoliopsida; Brassicales; Brassicaceae
Source: Rfam
AAACUAGCCACGUCGGCGAUAGCUUUUUUUGGCUGUGAUCGUUGAUGCUACAUUGGAUAUAAACAGAUGUUUGUUUCGAUUUCUGAUAGGAACCUGUUGAUCUUGUGAUCUACUGGGCCAUUUUGGCGAUUACAUUU